GAUGAACGCUAGCGAUAGGCCUAACACAUGCAAGUCGAGGGGCAGCAUAGAGUAGCAAUACUUUGAUGGCGACAGGCGCACGGGUGAGUAAAACGUAUGCAACAUACCUACAUCAGGGGAAUAACCCGGAGAAAUUCGGACUAAUACCGCAUAAUACAGGGAUGCCGCAUGGCAAUAUUUGUUAAAGAUUUAUCGGAUGUAGAUGGGCAUGCGUUCCAUUAGCUGGUUGGUAAGGUAACGGCUUACCAAGGUAACGAUGGAUAGGGGAACUGCGAGGUAUGUCCCCCACACUGGAACUGAGACACGGACCAGACUCGUACGGGAGGACGCAGUGAGGAAUAUUGGUCAAUGGACGAGAGACUGAACCAGCCAAAUCGCUUGAAGGAAGACUGCCCUACGGGUUGUAAACUUCUUUUGUACAGGAAUAAAAGACAUUACGUGUAAUGUAUUGCAUGUACUGUACGAAUAAGCAUCGGCUAACUCCGUGCCAGCCGCCGCUGUAA
Molecule: ribosomal RNA, 503 nt
Filed under: uncultured bacterium
Lineage: Bacteria
Description: partial 16S ribosomal RNA
Rfam family: Bacterial small subunit ribosomal RNA
Source: RNAcentral